Molecule: non-coding RNA, 2095 nt
Organism: Styela clava
Lineage: Eukaryota; Metazoa; Chordata; Ascidiacea; Stolidobranchia; Styelidae
Source: RefSeq, a predicted model, not a curated record
GCAAGAAAAUAAUGCAAUUUGGUCCCUGCAACAUGAGAACGAUGAAUUGCGACAAAGUUUGAUCGAACACCAGAAGGCAUUGGAACUUAUCAUGACCGAGUACAGACAGCAGAUGAUGAAAUUUACUAAGCACCAAAACAUCCAGAUCACAAAAAACAAUAUCAAGAAGAGAAUAUGGAACUCAUUGUAAGAUCCACGAGAUGGUUGCUGUGAUGAGGCAUGCUGCGGAUGUUGAUGAUGAGCAAUAUCUCAGAGAUUACGAAGAAUUAUCCCGAUUGGAAACAGAAAAUGGCAUUUUAGGGGGAAAUGCUGAUGAUAUCUAAGAGUUAAUUUGAAUCAAGACUUAUAACCACUGAACAGAAAGAUUCUGGAAAGGCUGAAAAACCAGAGAAUGAAUCUAAAAUGGUGCUCACUGACGAUACUACUCGUGACAAGACAGUUAUACAUGAAGGGGAAUCCCCCUAAGACUACUCCCCAGACAAUUAUUAUAUUAAAAUAGGGAAGUAGUUUAUGUUCCUUCAAAGGGUACUCUCGUAGUAUGUGUACCAGGUUCAUAAUUUCAUACAGAUUUUCCUUAUUUUAGUUCUAUUACGAGUUGGGGGACUGUCUAUGUUAGCCAAGUGGGUAUAUCCCCUGCCCAUAGGUUUCAGUCUCUUUACACCUGAUGUAAAAUAGGCGAACAAAAUUAGUUACCUCCAUAUUGGUCCACAUACUUCCGGAGCGCCCCUUACUCUUGUUAUUCCUUGUGUUUCUAUCGAAACUCAGUAUUGACAAAAUAUAUCUGGUUCAUACAAAGUACUCCACACAAAGCUGUAGACCUGGGUUUCCCAAACUGGGAUCCGCGAACCUCUGGGUGUCAGUGAUGACUGCACAGGGAGUCCGCAACUAUAUGAAAGGAGUCUGAUCUAUCUUUAAUGAUUGGAUUUAACCAGAAAGCCUUUGCAUCAUCUUGGUUGAGCGCUGCAGACGAAUAUCCAUCGCUCUCAGAAAAGGCAAUAAUAAUUUUAUGUGCGAGGCAGCAGUUCUUGCCAAUAUGAUGACAAAAUACGGGUCGAGACUUGCAAUAGAGUUGAACCUACGAGUUUGCUUGCCACAAAUUACUUCAAAAAUUGAUAAAUUAUGCAGUGAAAAGUAACCUCAUCCAUCAUAUUAACAUUGUUUGUGUUGUUCAUCCUUCCUCGCUGGUUUGACAUAGAAAUCGAUAUGGCUUAUUAGCAUGGGGGUUUGUCAAAUAUAAGAUAAACAAACAGGGGUCCGCAUUUCGGAAAGUUGGAGAAAAUACUUGUAUGUUCCUUUUGUGUUUAGCUCAGAAUUGGAAAAAUAUAUCUAAUUAAUUCAAUGUACUCCACACAAGGCUGACAUUGACAGUUGACAGUGAUUUAUAACCGGGAUUCCGUCCGCCAGUACAGUCCAGCGGUUUGCGUUUAAAUCCGAUAGUCUAUAGUAUUAAAUCUAUAUUAUUAAAUACAUGAAUAAUAUAAUAAGUGUGUUUCAUGAGAGACUUUCAUUAUUCUGCAUCAAAUUUCUGUUUCCACAUUUUUUGAUUGGCAUUACACUGGAGUUCCUUAAGCCUUUGAAAUCUUAACUGGGGUUCCGCUCCUCCAUGGAGGUUGAAAAACCACCGCUCUAGACAAGAAACACUCGAAAGGGGUUCAAUGUAGCGUCCCUAACAUUUGGGUAUGGGGCAUGAUCUUCUACGCAAACUGGUUUCACAUUGUGCUCAUGCAUCAACCUUAUUACCGACCUCGGGCCCAAAGUCAGGGAUUUUAAAUGGAGUUCGUUAGUAUUGCAGUCUUGAGUCAUAAUUUAAAAUUAGAUGGCCCGAAUUCGAGAUUUUUGGAAACGCCUGUGAUUUUGUUGUUCUCGAGUCCUAGUUGAUAGAUUUUUGUCAAUUUCAAAUUAUCUAAAAUUUUGUUAUCAGGGAGUCCAAUUUCGGGUCCGUUUUUGUCAACACUGGAGCAGUUUCUCAAACGAAUGUUUAACUAAAUAGAACCUUUAUAAAGAAAAAGGAAAAUGCAAAGUUGGAAUAUUGCACAUCUGUGACACGCUGUUUUAGCAUUUUGAGGUUUUAUAGCAAUUGGGGGUGCCAAUUUUG